Molecule: ribosomal RNA, 295 nt
Filed under: uncultured bacterium
Lineage: Bacteria
Description: partial 16S ribosomal RNA
Rfam family: Bacterial small subunit ribosomal RNA
Source: RNAcentral
CAGGCCUAACACAUGCAAGUCGAACGGUAACAGAAAGCAGCUUGCUGCUUUGCUGACGAGUGGCGGACGGGUGAGUAAUGUCUGGGAAACUGCCCGAUGGAGGGGGAUAACUACUGGAAACGGUAGCUAAUACCGCAUAACGUCGCAAGACCAAAGAGGGGGACCUUCGGGCCUCUUGCCAUCGGAUGUGCCCAGAUGGGAUUAGCUAGUAGGUGGGGUAAAGGCUCACCUAGGCGACGAUCCCUAGCUGGUCUGAGAGGAUGACCAGCCACACUGGGAACUGAGACACGGUCCA